This 253-nucleotide ribosomal RNA is filed under the name uncultured bacterium. Its description in RNAcentral is "partial 16S ribosomal RNA". It matches the Rfam family "Bacterial small subunit ribosomal RNA", at positions 524 to 776 of the family's 1533-position model. The record is from RNAcentral.
UACGUAGGGUGCAAGCGUUAAUCGGAAUUACUGGGCGUAAAGCGUGCGCAGGCGGUUGUGCAAGAUAGAUGUGAAAUCCCCGGGCUUAACCUGGGAACUGCAUUUGUGACUGCACAGCUGGAGUGCGGCAGAGGGGGAUGGAAUUCCGCGUGUAGCAGUGAAAUGCGUAGAUAUGCGGAGGAACACCGAUGGCGAAGGCAAUCCCCUGGGCCUGCACUGACGCUCAUGCACGAAAGCGUGGGGAGCAAACAGG